UGAAUUCAACCGAUGGUGAAAAUACAAAUCGACAAGUUGAAUUUGAUUGACAAAAUAUAAUUUCAAUAAUAAAAACAAAUAAUAAAAAUAAUUUUAAUUGAAUCAUUGUCAAGCUUUUUUCGUUUUUUUUUUUUUUUUCGAAAUUUUUU
This 149-nucleotide non-coding RNA is filed under the name Pessonella sp. PRA-29. The record is from RNAcentral. Lineage: Eukaryota; Discosea; Flabellinia; Vannellidae.